Molecule: transfer RNA, 65 nt
Filed under: Goliathus goliatus
Lineage: Eukaryota; Metazoa; Arthropoda; Insecta; Coleoptera; Scarabaeidae
Also listed under: 1 other name
Description: tRNA-Tyr
Rfam family: tRNA
About the family: Transfer RNA (tRNA) molecules are approximately 80 nucleotides in length. Their secondary structure includes four short double-helical elements and three loops (D, anti-codon, and T loops).
Source: RNAcentral
GAUAAGGUGGCUGAGUUUAAGCGGUAAACUGUAAAUUUACAUACGAAAUAAAAUUUCCUUUAUCA